Molecule: ribosomal RNA, 355 nt
Filed under: Wohlfahrtia magnifica
Lineage: Eukaryota; Metazoa; Arthropoda; Insecta; Diptera; Sarcophagidae
Description: partial small subunit ribosomal RNA
Source: RNAcentral
AAACUAGGAUUAGAUACCCUAUUAUUUAAAAUGUAAAUAAUAAAGCUAAGGUAGUAGUAGUUAUGUUCUUGAAACUUAAAAAAUUUGGCGGUAUUUUAGUCUAUUCAGAGGAACCUGUUCUGUAAUCGAUAAUCCACGAUGGACCUUACUUAAGUUUGUAAUCAGUUUAUAUACCGUCGUUAUUAGAAUAUUUUACAAGAAUGUUAAUUUUCUAAAUUUUUUUAAGAAAGUAUAUCAGAUCAAGGUGUAGCUAAUAUUUAAGUAGAAAUGGGUUACAAUAAAUUUAUUUAUACGGAUAUAAAUUUGAAAUAUUUAUUGAAGGUGGAUUUGAUAGUAAAAUUAUAAAGAUAAAUAA